RNAcentral lists this long non-coding RNA (873 nucleotides) under Homo sapiens (human). RNAcentral's name for it is "HSALNT0293480". The record is from RNAcentral. Lineage: Eukaryota; Metazoa; Chordata; Mammalia; Primates; Hominidae.
CUCAGCGUCCUCUCCGGUGGAGGACAGAAGGCAUCCCAGGGUCGCGGGAGAGCCAGCGCAAAGUGGAAGGCACCUUGUACGCUGUGAAGCGGAGAUGCAGAUGUUACCCUAACCAGAAGCCCACCCCGCCACAAAUACUGGAGCGCCCAGCAUGCGUGCGCCACCCGCUUCCCUGCAGAGGGCGCCGCGGGCCCGCCUCGCCGAGCGCGGGGUGAGAUCCCAGUAGCCCAGAGCAGCCCGCGGGGCAGGCCCGGGCUGCCGCGGACUCCUCUUGUUAGAUGUGGCCAGGUGACAAAGUUCUGUACAGUGGAAUGUAAACAGAAGUAUCAUGUGAGAGUUUCCAAGAACUUUUUCAGGAGGGAGGAAACACAUGUCCUUUGCCCUCCCUUUUUGUUUGCUGCCUUCUCCAUCCUAUAGCCUGGAAUACAGACAUGAUGGCUACCAUCUUGGACUAUGAACAUGAGGAUCACACCCAAGGGAAGGAGAGGCAGCAAGCUGGAAGGUACUAUGGAGCAGAACUGCCACAGCCUGAGUACCUACCUCUGGAACUUUCUGUGAGAAAUGAAAUGGGCCCAACAGUUCCAUAAACAGUUGUUUUGGGAUAAACAUAGAAAUGGCCCCUAGCUUGAAAUUUGCAUUUGUUUUAUCUGAGUUCCCUCCUCAGGAAAGGACCUUCAGGCCUCUCAAAAAAGUAUCAAGAGAACUGACACCAGAUGCCUCCUUGCCCCUCCCUAGUUCCUGUUUUCUUAAACAUUGUUACAUAUCUUCCCUGCUAUGUAAGCCCCUAGAUUUAGUCAGUCAGGGAGAUGGAUUUGAGACUGAGCUCUCAUAACUUGGCUGCAGCACCCGAUUAAAGCCUUCUUCCUUGGCAAU